AUGGAUGUCCUGAGAGCACAGCCACUACUUAACCUUGCAGGGAAAAGGGAGCUGGUCAAGAGGCAGCAUGGGUAUAAUCCCCAAGCAAAGGCUUAUUUUGUCCCUGCCAAAGAAACAAAGCUGCUCCCUGUUGAGCUGAAGUUUACUCUCAGCAGCUUCCCUGUUUGCAGGAAUGUACUUUGUGCCUACAGAUGCCUUCUGAAGACGCUGGUGAUGUUGGGCACUUGGUGGGUUUGCCUUUGGGAGGCCUGCUUUCCUCGCGCUCAGCUGCUGAGGCGGGGCAUGUAUUAAGCUGAGGAAAUGCAAUAGAGCACACCGCCCGGUGCUGGUGCGUGCUGCCUUUCUGCCUUCCAAGCCCUGGAUUGCCAUGGCUCCUCCCGAGCCCCGCUGCGGGAUCCUGCCUUCCUAUUGCCAUCAGAGACAAACUGGAGAAAGGAACGAACUUCAUAAGCGAGCCCAAUAUUAAACGUAUAAAUAAUGCAUCCUUCAGCAUUAUUUAUAAUGCAGGAGCAUCACUGUUCUAUAUCAUAUGCAGUUUCACUUUGCCUCGUUUUAACUGCUUUCCUGCCAGGCAUAUCCUUCAGUAAGUUUGAAAGCAACAUCGGCUGCUUGUGUGAUGGCUUUUUAUUUGUAUUUUCUCUCCUCCUUUACUAGGUGUGUUGUGCUGAGGAACCGUUUCACAUACAAAGCGUAGAAAGGGUGUAAAUUCUAACAUCAGCAGGUAUAAUAGCAUUUAUAAGACGUUAUGAAUUGCAAUACCAUUUGGAUUUGAAAGUGAAAAAUAUUCUUUGUGCGAGGAAUGGCCAGCAUGGUUGGAGCAGCUUCAAGCUCACUUCUUGCUGUAAAUGCUGCGCUCAGAGAGUGGCUCUGUUUUGCAGUGAUGAUGGAAUAUACUGUAUCGCUGGUGGGUUGCCCUGUGCAAACCAGUUCACGCUUUGAGAGAAUGGUUUUGUGUCCUGCACAUACACACGCAAAGUCUGGAAUAACAAUACCAAGGUUUAUCUUUGGAGGAUCAAAUGAAAGCUGUAGUUGAAUGUUCCAUUUGUUUCUUAAUGAGCGUUGUCAGGCUGUGCCCUACGCUUAACAAAAGCAUAUGUGCAGAUAUUGUUCUGUUAUGAUUACAGUGUAAUUAUAUCAUGUCUGUAAUGGAUUACUGCAUCUGGCCUUUUCUUGGUUUAGGAAACUUAGAAUAAGAUUAGUAGAUAACUUCAAAAUGCAUCUAAUUCUUCUAAGCGGUGCUUUCUCUGUUGGCCAGUUUCCCCUCCACUUAAGUUUGGGAGAGGAGUUCUUU
Molecule: long non-coding RNA, 1291 nt
Filed under: Numida meleagris (helmeted guineafowl)
Lineage: Eukaryota; Metazoa; Chordata; Aves; Galliformes; Numididae
Description: lncRNA (ENSNMEG00000015887.1)
Source: RNAcentral